UUACGGCCAUAUCACGAUGAACAUCCGGUUACGGUACGAUCACUGAAGUUAAGCAACGUCGAGGCUGGCCAAUACCUAGAUGGGUGACUGCUUGGAAUACCAGGUGCUGUAU
Non-coding RNA from Acanthosepion pharaonis, 112 nucleotides. The record is from the annotation of a GenBank genome assembly. NCBI's taxonomy places the organism in Eukaryota, Metazoa, Mollusca, Cephalopoda, Sepiida, Sepiidae.